This is a long non-coding RNA of Hipposideros armiger (great roundleaf bat), 418 nucleotides long. RefSeq lists it as uncharacterized. The record is from RefSeq and is a predicted model, not a curated record. The transcript is spliced from 3 exons. Lineage: Eukaryota; Metazoa; Chordata; Mammalia; Chiroptera; Hipposideridae.
AGACUUUUUUCAAAGGCAUUUAAACAACUAUGUGACUUUCUAUUUUUUUCAACAGCAAUGGCUUCAAGGAAAAGAAUGGAACUUGGAACGCUCCAGAGAUAAUAUUGAAUAGCAGCUUUGAAGUCACAUUCACUGAUACUACCCAUACUUGAAAUUUCAAGAAUCGUCAUCGAAAAUACAAAGAGCUGGAUCCCAUCCAGGAUACCACAUUGCAUUUAGUUGUCACAUCUCCAUAGGCUCCUCUGAUCUAUGAAAGUGACUUAGUCUUUCAUGACCUUGACAGUUUUGAAGAAUACUGGUUGGUAUUUUGUGGAACGUCCUUCAAUUUGAACUGUUGUGAUGUUUUCUCAUUCGACUGAAGUUAUGGGUUUUGGAAAAGAAUACGACACAAAUGAACUGCCCUUCUCAUCACAUCAUA